GCCUGGGUGGCUCAGUUGAUUGAGCGUCUGACUUUAGCUCAGGUGGUGAUCUCAUGGUUCUUGAGUUCAAGCCCCACCUGGGGCU
RNAcentral lists this transfer RNA (85 nucleotides) under Felis catus (domestic cat). It matches the Rfam family "tRNA". Rfam says of the family: Transfer RNA (tRNA) molecules are approximately 80 nucleotides in length. RNAcentral also lists the same sequence under 1 other name. Lineage: Eukaryota; Metazoa; Chordata; Mammalia; Carnivora; Felidae. The record is from Rfam by way of RNAcentral.